GGUUAAGCGACUAAGCGUACACGGUGGAUGCCCUGGCAGUCAGAGGCGAUGAAGGACGUGCUAAUCUGCGAAAAGCGUCGGUAAGGUGAUAUGAACCGUUAUAACCGGCGAUGUCCGAAUGGGGAAACCCAGUGUGAUUCGUCACACUAUCGUUAACUGAAUACAUAGGUUAACGAGGCGAACCGGGGGAACUGAAACAUCUAAGUACCCCGAGGAAAAGAAAUCAACCGAGAUUCCCCCAGUAGCGGCGAGCGAACGGGGAGCAGCCCAGAGUCUGAAUCAGCUUGUGUGUUAGUGGAACGGUCUGGAAAGUCCGACGGUACAGGGUGAUAGUCCCGUACACCAAAAUGCACAGGUUGUGAACUCGAAGAGUAGGGCGGGACACGUGGUAUCCUGUCUGAAUAUGGGGGGACCAUCCUCCAAGGCUAAAUACUCCUGACUGACCGAUAGUGAACCAGUACCGUGAGGGAAAGGCGAAAAGAACCCCGGCGAGGGGAGUGAAAAAGAACCUGAAACCGUGUACGUACAAGCAGUGGGAGCACCUUCGGGUGUGACUGCGUACCUUUUGUAUAAUGGGUCAGCGACUUAUAUUCUGUAGCAAGGUUAACCGUAUAGGGGAGCCGCAGGGAAACCGAGUCUUAACUGGGCGUUAAGUUGCAGGGUAUAGACCCGAAACCCGGUGAUCUAGCCAUGGGCAGGUUGAAGGUUGGGUAACACUAACUGGAGGACCGAACCGACUAAUGUUGAAAAAUUAGCGGAUGACUUGUGGCUGGGGGUGAAAGGCCAAUCAAACCGGGAGAUAGCUGGUUCUCCCCGAAAGCUAUUUAGGUAGCGCCUCGUGAAUUCAUCUUCGGGGGUAGAGCACUGUUUCGGCUAGGGGGUCAUCCCGACUUACCAACCCGAUGCAAACUACGAAUACCGAAGAAUGUUAUCACGGGAGACACACGGCGGGUGCUAACGUCCGUCGUGAAGAGGGAAACAACCCAGACCGCCAGCUAAGGUCCCAAAGUCAUGGUUAAGUGGGAAACGAUGUGGGAAGGCACAGACAGCCAGGAUGUUGGCUUAGAAGCAGCCAUCAUUUAAAGAAAGCGUAAUAGCUCACUGGUCGAGUCGGCCUGCGCGGAAGAUGUAACGGGGCUAAACCAUGCACCGAAGCUGCGGCAGCGACACUAUGUGUUGUUGGGUAGGGGAGCGUUCUGUAAGCCUGCGAAGGUGUGCUGUGAGGCAUGCUGGAGGUAUCAGAAGUGCGAAUGCUGACAUAAGUAACGAUAAAGCGGGUGAAAAGCCCGCUCGCCGGAAGACCAAGGGUUCCUGUCCAACGUUAAUCGGGGCAGGGUGAGUCGACCCCUAAGGCGAGGCCGAAAGGCGUAGUCGAUGGGAAACAGGUUAAUAUUCCUGUACUUGGUGUUACUGCGAAGGGGGGACGGAGAAGGCUAUGUUAGCCGGGCGACGGUUGUCCCGGUUUAAGCAUGUAGGCUGGUUAUCCAGGCAAAUCCGGAUAAUCAAGGCUGAGGUGUGAUGACGAGGCACUACGGUGCUGAAGUAACAAAUGCCCUGCUUCCAGGAAAAGCCUCUAAGCAUCAGGUAACAUCAAAUCGUACCCCAAACCGACACAGGUGGUCAGGUAGAGAAUACCAAGGCGCUUGAGAGAACUCGGGUGAAGGAACUAGGCAAAAUGGUGCCGUAACUUCGGGAGAAGGCACGCUGGUGUGUAGGUGAAGUCCCUGCGGAUGGAGCUGAGACCAGUCGAAGAUACCAGCUGGCUGCAACUGUUUAUUAAAAACACAGCACUGUGCAAACACGAAAGUGGACGUAUACGGUGUGACGCCUGCCCGGUGCCGGAAGGUUAAUUGAUGGGGUUAUCCGUAAGGAGAAGCUCUUGAUCGAAGCCCCGGUAAACGGCGGCCGUAACUAUAACGGUCCUAAGGUAGCGAAAUUCCUUGUCGGGUAAGUUCCGACCUGCACGAAUGGCGUAAUGAUGGCCAGGCUGUCUCCACCCGAGACUCAGUGAAAUUGAACUCGCUGUGAAGAUGCAGUGUACCCGCGGCAAGACGGAAAGACCCCGUGAACCUUUACUAUAGCUUGACACUGAACAUUGAGCCUUGAUGUGUAGGAUAGGUGGGAGGCUUUGAAGCGUGGACGCCAGUCUGCGUGGAGCCAACCUUGAAAUACCACCCUUUAAUGUUUGAUGUUCUAACGUUGGCCCCUUACCGGGGUUGCGGACAGUGUCUGGUGGGUAGUUUGACUGGGGCGGUCUCCUCCCAAAGCGUAACGGAGGAGCACGAAGGUUAGCUAAUCCUGGUCGGACAUCAGGAGGUUAGUGCAAUGGCAUAAGCUAGCUUGACUGCGAGCGUGACGGCGCGAGCAGGUGCGAAAGCAGGUCAUAGUGAUCCGGUGGUUCUGAAUGGAAGGGCCAUCGCUCAACGGAUAAAAGGUACUCCGGGGAUAACAGGCUGAUACCGCCCAAGAGUUCAUAUCGACGGCGGUGUUUGGCACCUCGAUGUCGGCUCAUCACAUCCUGGGGCUGAAGUAGGUCCCAAGGGUAUGGCUGUUCGCCAUUUAAAGUGGUACGCGAGCUGGGUUUAGAACGUCGUGAGACAGUUCGGUCCCUAUCUGCCGUGGGCGCUGGAGAAUUGAGGGGGGCUGCUCCUAGUACGAGAGGACCGGAGUGGACGCAUCACUGGUGUUCGGGUUGUCAUGCCAAUGGCACUGCCCGGUAGCUAAAUGCGGAAGAGAUAAGUGCUGAAAGCAUCUAAGCACGAAACUUGCCCCGAGAUGAGUUCUCCCUGAGACUUUAAGUCUCCUGAAGGAACGUUAAAGACGAUGACGUUGAUAGGCCGGGUGUGUAAGCGCAGCGAUGCGUUGAGCUAACCGGUACUAAUGAACCGUGAGGCUUAACCUU
This 2902-nucleotide ribosomal RNA is filed under the name Klebsiella pneumoniae. RNAcentral's name for it is "23S ribosomal RNA". It matches the Rfam family "Bacterial large subunit ribosomal RNA". Lineage: Bacteria; Pseudomonadati; Pseudomonadota; Gammaproteobacteria; Enterobacterales; Enterobacteriaceae. The record is from RNAcentral.